This 1437-nucleotide ribosomal RNA is filed under the name uncultured bacterium. RNAcentral's name for it is "bacterial SSU rRNA". It matches the Rfam family "Bacterial small subunit ribosomal RNA". The record is from RNAcentral.
UAGAGUUUGAUCAUGGCUCAGAACGUACGCUGGCGGCACGCCUAACACAUGCAAGUCGAACGAAGUAGCAAUACUUAGUGGCAGACGGGUGAGUAACAUGUAGGUAUCUGCCCUUUGGCCUGGAAUAACACGAGGAAACUUGUGCUAAUACCGGAUAAGUCUUUACGGAGAAAGCUUUAUGCACCAUUGGAUGAGCCUGCACUUGAUUAGUUUGUUGGUGGGGUAAUGGCCUACCAAGACUGUGAUCAAUAGCUGAUUUGAGAGGAUGAUCAGCCACAUUGGGACUGAGACACGGCCCAAACUCCUACGGGAGGCAGCAGUGGGGAAUCUUGCACAAUGGAGGAAACUCUGAUGCAGCGAUGCCGCGUGAGUGAAGAAGGCCUUUGGGUUGUAAAGCUCUUUCGUCGGGGAAGAAAAUGACUGUACCCGAAUAAGAAGGUCCGGCUAACUUCGUGCCAGCAGCCGCGGUAAUACGAAGGGACCUAGCGUAGUUCGGAAUUACUGGGCUUAAGGAGUUCGUAGGUGGUUGAAAAAGUUGGUGGUGAAAUCCCAGAGCUUAACUCUGGAACUGCCAUCAAAACUUUUCAGCUAGAGUAUGAUAGAGGAAAGCAGAAUUUCUAGUGUAGAGGUGAAAUUCGUAGAUAUUAGAAAGAAUACCAAUUGCGAAGGCAGCUUUCUGGAUCAUUACUGACACUGAGGAACGAAAGCAUGGGUAGCGAAGAGGAUUAGAUACCCUCGUAGUCCAUGCCGUAAACGAUGUGUGUUAGACGUUGGAAAUUUAUUUUCAGUGUCGCAGCGAAAGCGAUAAACACACCGCCUGGGGAGUACGACCGCAAGGUUAAAACUCAAAUGAAUUGACGGGGACCCGCACAAGUAGUGGAGCAUGUGGUUUAAUUCGAAGAUACGCGCAGAACCUUACCAACACUUGACAUGUUCGUCGCGACUCUAAGAGAUUAGAGUUUUCGGUUCGGCCGGACGAAACACAGGUGCUGCAUGGCUGUCGUCAGCUCGUGUCGUGAGAUGUUGGGUUAAGUCCCGCAACGAGCGCAACCCUCACUUUUAGUUGCCAUCAUUAAGUUGGGCACUCUGAAAGAACCGCCAGUGAUAAGCUGGAGGAAGGUGGGGAUGACGUCAAGUCCUCAUGGCCCUUACGUGUUGGGCUACACACGUGCUACAAUGGUAUCUACAAAAGGAAGCAAGACGGCGACGUUUAGCAAAUCCUUAAAAGAUACCUCAGUUCGGAUUGCACUCUGCAACUCGAGUGCAUGAAGCUGGAAUUACUAGUAAUCGUGGAUCAGCGUGCCACGGUGAAUGCGUUCCCGGGUCUUGUACACACCGCCCGUCACACCAUGGGAGUUGGUUCUACCUUAAGGCAAGGUUUAAAACCCUUGACCACGGUAUAGUCAGCGACUGGGGUGAAGUCGUAACAAGGUAACC